AGUAAAUAGAUACCCGGGUAGUCCACGCUGUAAACGAUGUGUGCUGGAUGUUGGGUGACUUAGUCAUUCAGUGUCGUAGUUAACGCGAUAAGCACACCGCCUGGGGAGUACGGCCGCAAGGUUGAAACUCAAAGGAAUUGACGGGGGCCCGGCCGACAAGACGGUGGAGGCAUGUUGGUUUUAAGUUUACGUAAGACAACGACGCAGAACCUUAACCCUACGGGCGUUGUACAUGGGGUAGGGCGUGCAGUCAGAGAUGGCUGUUUCUUCGCAAGAGACCUCCUGCACAGGUGCUGCAUGGCUGUCGUCAGCUCGUGUCGUG
This 322-nucleotide ribosomal RNA is filed under the name uncultured bacterium. RNAcentral's name for it is "bacterial SSU rRNA". It matches the Rfam family "Bacterial small subunit ribosomal RNA", at positions 775 to 1069 of the family's 1533-position model. The record is from RNAcentral.